UGGCGGCAUGCUUAACNCAUGCAAGUCGAACGAGACCUUCGGGUCUAGUGGCGCACGGGUGCGUAACGCGUGGGAAUCUGCCCUUUGCUACGGAAUAACUCAGAGAAAUUUGUGCUAAUACCGUAUAAUGUCGUAAGACCAAAGAUUUAUCGGCAAAGGAUGAGCCCGCGUAAGAUUAGCUUGUUGGUGAGGUAAAGGCUCACCAAGGCGACGAUCUUUAGCUGGUCUGAGAGGAUGAUCAGCCACACUGGGACUGAGACACGGGCCAGACUCCUACGGGAGGCAGNAGUGGGGAAUAUUGGACAAUGGGCGAAAGCCUGAUCCAGCAAUGCCGCGUGAGUGAUGAAGGNCUUAGGGUUGUAAAGCUC
Molecule: ribosomal RNA, 368 nt
Filed under: uncultured bacterium
Lineage: Bacteria
Description: bacterial SSU rRNA
Rfam family: Bacterial small subunit ribosomal RNA
Source: RNAcentral